CUUCAACGAGGAUUAGAACAUCCGACAUUAAAAUGUCUCAGUGCAGCAGAAUUUCCCAGCGACUUCGGUGGCGGGAGAGCAGCACCUCUCAGGCACAGCUGUGCGCAUCCCUCGGGCCCCACCGACCGCACCAUCUGACCGCGGGAAACGAAAUCUGAGCUCAGGAAUUUGAACUGCCCCACGCACGUUCGUUCCCGGAUAAAUCUCCUAGAGGACCGUGAUUUUUCCACUUAGAGAUUAUUUAGGGAGAUGUCCUGGAUGGGACAAGUAGACAAAUGGCGGCCCGAGGAAAAUGCAGGAAACUCUACAUUGUAGACGCUUAAGCACCAACUGUCUGGGCCCCGGGGCAGGGAACGGGAGACAUUAUCCACCGGAAACAUCACACCCCCGGGGCUCCUGGCAUUUUCUACAUCAGUGAAUGUGCCAGCGAAGAAGAGUGUGGGGAAAUUUUCUGAACAUAGAAUUCAUAUUCCUGAAACGUUAAGUCGUGAAGUGGGUGCUUCAGCUGUCCCCCAGCUUUAGGAUUUUAACCCAGCUUUGGUUUUGAUCACCGAGAGUUAUUCCUUAUAAUCAAAUCAGCAAAAGCGUUCAAUUACCUAUUACUGGUUGAGAAAGAUUCCGUUCCCCCAGCUCAUUGUAUCGGUUCUUGGACCCAAGAUGUUAAUUAUCGGCCAGGCAUUCACAGGGGGUUAAUAUGGCCCCCCUCGACACCUUGCCUCGUACCAGAGACACCAAAAGCUGCCGCUGAGGGAUAAUAGAGAAUGGGAAAAGCUGGUCAUGAAAAACCUCUUUUAUUCUUACUUGCAAGCUACCCUUUUGACAUUCUUUUUUUAACACUAAAUGGAGAUUACUGAAUUGAUAACUUUUGGGUUUUCUCUGUCACACUGGGGUUUUUUUCCCCCCGUUUGUUUGUAAGGUUUUUUUGGUUUUGGUUUUGGUUUUGGGGGGAGGGGAAGGGGGAAGUGGAUAGGGAGAUGGAAGAGUGUUCUGUUACUGGUUUUAUCAAAUCCUGUUAGGUCUUGUUCUUCAGUGUAAUGUAGAAUGGAGAAGUUGCAUAAGUACAUGAUUGACAAACAAGGUCUCUUAGAAGAGAGUUAAGGAGUAGGAAAUAUAAUGUGUCCUGGAGAAAAAGAAAGAGAAAACCCUUAGUAUGACACACUGGCCUUUAAAUAGAGGACACAUGAAUAUGCAAAGGAGAGGCACGUGUGAAAUAAGGUGUGCCUUGCUGAGCCCUCCCGCCCCCACCCCCCAUGUAUCAAGAACUUUACUUACAUUAUCUCAUCUAAUUCUACCCACAACCCAAGAGGAAGGGCGAUACUUUUAAUUCGGGUUUUUACAGACAAGAAAUUUGUAUCUCAGAGGCCCAAAGUAAAUUGCCUGAGGGCAUAUAGCUACUUAGGACAGAAUUAGAAUUGAUUAAAGAGUCAAAAAUUCUUUGAGAAUUAAUGUUUUAAACUCUCGAUUAGUUACCAAGGGAAUCUGAGAAAUUAAUUAACUUUUGGGGGGAUCUUUAGAUUAGUGGGGAAAUUAUGUUAAGCCCAAAGAAAGACAAGCCCGUGAAUUUUCUUGUUAUCUAUGAAGUGGUUUGGUGAAAGGUGUGACAAUUUGAGAAAACUGAAAAGUGCUGAAAUUCCUUUAAUAAGGUUCUGUUUAAACUGAUAGAGCUACCAGAUAUAAUUAGGCAGAUAUCCAUUUUCUUCUGGAAGCUUCUAUUAUUUGAGAAGAAAACUGAAAAGCUUUAGACUGUUUCAAAUUAAGGACAAUUUGAAUUUUAGUUGGAAAGCGGAUAAACUAUCUGUAUGAUUGAGUUUAAAAGGCAUGGAAAGACUAUUACGAAGUAUUGAUCCCACUCAGUGAGAGCAAGCACAGCUUUCAAAUGAUACAGAUCUGGCUAUGAAUUUGAAUGGUGACUGUGCCUAGCUGUGUGACCAAGGGCAACUUUCUUAACCUCUCUGGGCCUCUGAGUCCUCGUCUUUAAAAUGAGACAAAUAAGCCCUUGCAAGACGCUUGUGAUGAUAAAAUAAAAGAGUAUGGGUGAAAGUCCUUAACAGAAUGCCUGAUAUGUAGCAGAUACUCAACAGAGUUAGCAAUGUUUCAUUUAAUUAAAGCAUUUGAGAGCAGGAUAGGGAGCACCACUAACUUCAGCUCUUCAACAAUUUUGCCUGGGGCUGGCUCUGGGGAAUAGACUUGGAUUCUCACGAGUAUGUGAAUCUUCAGUUACUUCCUUGAAAGGACAGACAGUUAUAAAAGCAAGCAGUGAAGUCUGGGAAGGUGGAGGAGAAUGGUUAUGGAAAGUUAUCCCCACAUCAUAAGUCUUCCUGAUCUUGAGAUCAAACAACAACACUUUCAGAAACAGCAAGAAAUUAAGGCUGAAGCAAAAUACCCCCUGUAUAAUUUUUAAGUCAGUUAAUAAUGAAGGUGUAAAUAAAACAGAAAUGUCUCUGUUCUUACUUAAAUCUUGAACAAAUAAGGGAUUUUUUUCUUUAGUGUUUUUUAAUAGUUUAAUCAUUUUUUAAGACACAAUUUUUGCCUAGUUACUGUUUACUAACUGCCCUGCCAAAAAUUAGUUAUUACUUCAGGACUUAUGUUUGAAUAGAACUGCGAAAUCCUGCUUUAAAAAGUACUAUGAAACAAUUCAUCAAAAUGUUUUCCUCUGAUAUUUUUUACCAGGUAAAGGCAAGAUUACUUCUGGAGAUUUUCUUUGAAAAUAAUGAUUUUUUUUUCCUGAUUAUGAAAGUAAUACACGUUCAUUAUGGACAAUUUAGUAUAAAAUGAGAGAACAAGCUAUAAAGGAGCAAACGAGAACACCCUUAUUCUCACCAGUAAGAGUUAACCACUUUUAAUAUUUUGAUGAUUUCUUUCAGUCUUUUUACCCUUUAUUUUUUUAGCCUUGGUACGAACCUAUGGAGUAUAAAAUUGUGCAUUCUUGUUUUUAUAUUUAUUUUCUCCCAUGUAACUAAAAAGGAUCUGUAACAUUUUUAGUGACUGUCUAAUUUUAUAUCAUACCAAUAUGAUAUAUUAGUAUCAUUUUUUAAGAAACAAUAGAGAAUUCUCUAUUGUUGAGUGUCUGUGAGUCCCAGUUUUUGCUAUUGUAAAUUAUGCUAAACAAAAAUCUGUGUGCAUAAAUCUCUGAGUUUAAGAUUAUUUCGUUAAGAUAGACUUCUAUAACAAGAAUUACUAGGUUCAUAUAAUACUUCUAAUGCUUUUGAAAUAUAUUGUCGUAUUGAUUUUAGCAGUUUUCAGUCCAAGCAGCAAUAGAUGAAGAGAGCUGUUCUCUCCUAAUGCCUCUAGUCAUAGUGACUGAUACCACAGCCAAAACAAAAAAAAAAAACAACAACAAAAAAAACAAAUCUUUUCUAAUUUGAUAGGCUAAAGAAAAGAUCUUGUUGUUUUAUUUGUAUUUUGGGAGGGCUACUGCCAUUGAACAGCUUUUCCAGAUGUUCAUUAGCCAUUUUCUCUUUUGUGAACUAUCUAUUACUGUCCUUUGCCUGUUUUUCUAUUGAGGCCUUAAUUUUUUUAACUGUAUUUAUAUAAACCCCACGUAUCAGCCCUUUGUUGUAAUUGUGGCAGUUUUUUCCCAUUUUACUUUUUGCAUUUUAAUGUUAUUCAUGAUUUUUGAUACAUAAAAAUGUUAAAGAUUUAUUUAGAUAAAUGUAUCAAGUAUUUUUUAAUUUUUUUAUGUUGCUCUACAGAAAAUCACCUAGAUAUUCACCUAUUUUUUUCUACUUGCAUUUUUAUGAGCUUGUUUUUACAUUUAAGUCUUUAUUGCUUUUGUACUUUAUUGCAUUGUGAGUUAAGAAUCUGAUUUUUCCCUCAAAUAGCUAGGCAGUUUUUCCAAUACCGUCAACUCAGUGUCCAUCUCCCCCUAGCUGAUUUACUGUGCCUCCACAUCAGAGACCUCUUUUGGUUGAUAAAGAUGCAGGGAUGCUCUUCACAGUACAGUUAUUAACAGCCAGAGCAAUAUAUGAGGAUCAACUAAUCGGAACCAGUCAUAAGCAUCAGAUUGGGCCAGCAAGCACAUCCCAGGUGAGGACCAAAAUUGCAAAUGGGACCUAAGAAGUUCCUGCAUGCAACAAAAGUGGUUUCCUUUCAAAGAAGGAUAUGUUUAAAUUAACUUAACAUGUUUAAAGGGGGACUCUCCUGUAAGUUUCAUUUGGAGCACGUGGAGUUUACAUUAGUUUCAUUGUGUUCAUUCAACAAACACUAGUUAAGCCACCCCUAUGGACAGGUUCUGUUUUAGUAUCUCAAUAGGUGAGAGAGAGAGAGAGACUCUAAACAGACAGACAGAUAGAUGAUAGAUAGACAGAUAAAUAGAUAGAUAAUCUCCCUAUUUCUCUCUUUCUGUGUGUGUCUUUCUCAUAUUGUCAAAAAAUGCUACUGAGCUCAGUGAAAUUCACAUUAAGUGGUAGUACCAAUUUUCUAUUAUUGAUGUCACAUCAUUUCUCUUUCAUUACAAUAAUUGUUACUGUUCUUUGGGAUACAUUCCCGGUCAACUCAUCCUUUCCUAAUAUGACACAAAUUGCAUCUGCCGGUAAUUUGGUCUGCUUAUUAGUUGAUAGACAUUGUAAGUCUUUGGUUUGUCCAUCUGUUCUCAUAGUUUGUCUGCUCCUUAAAGAAUUGGAUUAUUUGCUACACUUUUCAGGUGGCUUUAUUUUGCAUAUAUUUCUGAAUUUUCUUUUUCAUGAUAACAAUACCAGAAGGAUGUCCCAAUUUUACAUUCUAUCUUUCCUUUUGCUUUGAAAUAAUUUAAAUCACUUCAAGAAAGAUUAAUAAAGAAAUUAUAUUUCUAUCGAAUCUUUAUGCAAUUAGGUUACUGAACUUUUGAAAUCAAAGGAGGAAAUCAGAUUUUGUGGUUUUGCCCAGUAUACUAUAGAAUGUCAAUAUUGUUCUAUUAUAAAAAUAAUAUUCUAUAUAUUAUAUUCUUAUAUUAGAACAAUACUAUUCUAUAUAUAAUAUGCUAAUAUAAGAAUAAGACAGCAAUAGACCAAUUGUUCCUGUUAAGGAAGACUUGUUGAUUCACUGGUGCCCACCCAUUGUAGAUGGGGUGAGAGGAUCGGGACUCUGCUGGGAUCUGACAUCUGGGAAUUCCCAAGGGUCCAACAUUGGAUGGACAAGUGGAGCAGAAGAAUCCAUCAUUAGGAGGAACAAAGGGUGAGGAAUUCACGGGUCAAUUGUGACUCCAGAGCCUGGAAAACGAACAACAACCAUGAGACUGCUACCAGAGCCAGACUCUAUCCCGGGGAGAAGGAGUGUACAGAACCAAGCAGGUCCUUGCCACAGAGCAUGGGAGAGAAAUGGGGCCCCAAAGUGUCUAUGAAUUGACCGAAAAUGAGGAGGAAAAUGUUGACGUCAUCCAAUUAGCAGAGAUUAACCAGAUUAGGUUUUCUGGCACUUGGCAGAAUGGUAACUCAAAAUAAAAACUGAGUUUAGUAAAAAACAAUACAGAUAUUUUACAUUUCUUGGUCAUCUUGAUUAUCACAAUGACACUAGUAUGGGCCCUAGGUAUAGACAUUUAUUUUUGUGCAGUGUAAACCUUGCUGUGUUCAAGCGUGACUACAGUACUAGAUUCCCGCCAUUCCCUGAAAGGUUAACCUGUUCUUGCUGGGGACUGAGUUCUCUCCCAAUGCCUGUUCUGAAACAGCACAUCAACUGCAAUCAUGGUGCUGUCACUUACCUUUCCCUAACCAUCCUCUUGAAAGUCUGAAUUUCCCAUCCCCCAGAUUGUAUUCCUAUGGAGUGAAAUGAUAGCCUUGAUUCAGCUUGAGUUUGUCAUUCCUCCUUCAACACAGAGACUCAGACUAUUAGUUACUUCCACUCUCAAAAGAGAAAGCUGCCAAGAAGGGGGUUAGAAGCCUAAUGAAAAAAUUAUUUUCAUGCAUCCCCAGUAAUGGUAGAUUUUUGUUGACAUGCAAUAUAAUCAAUUCCUGUUGCUUUUCUGGAUGGCUGGGCCCAGUAAUUUAUACCAGCUUCUGAUCCCCUUAAGCAACUUGGUCCUACUUAUGUGAACACACUAUAUCAUCUCUACAGAAUACACUGUGGUAUUUAUAGUCCCACAGACUUAGGCUGUGGAAGUACUCUUAUUUCAUUUUGUUCUUAACAAUGUAAUCCGGGCAUUUUAUUCUUAAACAGCUUCAAUACCUUGCUGACUUUGAGCUUGUGGCUCACUAAGACCUUCAGGUCUUUCUCACAAGGACAAUUGUAAAGCUACUAUUCCGGGGACCCUGGUAUUUGUUAGGUUUAUUCAAUAUUUAUUCAAUUAUUUUAAAAACUAUUAUUUUGUUUCUGAUCAAUAAGGUAAUGUAUGCUUGCUGUAGAAAAACUGGACAGUUCAGAAAAGCAUAAAGAUGCAAAUAAAAAUAGUUCACCCCCAUCGCUUUGCAUACAUCUUUUAACAUUUGCAAAUAUGCUACAUAUAUUGUUUAGUAGUCAAUUUUUUUCAUGUAGCAAUAUAUCAUGCCAUUAAAUAUUCUGCAAAGAAUGAUGCUUUUGGUUAGAAUUUUAAACCAAAAUAUUCCACUUCUAGAAAUUUACCUAAUAAAUAGUUAUCAUUGCAAAUAUUUAGCUACAAAGAAGUUUAUAGCAGUUUCAUUUAUAAUAAUAAAUAACUGACAUAAUACAAAAAUAUCAAGAGUAAAUACUUACCUAAACAAUGAAGUACAAUGCAGCCGCUAAAUUGUUUUUAAAAUAAUAUUUUAUAACAUAAAAAAGUUGUAUCAAUGAAUUA
Molecule: long non-coding RNA, 6724 nt
Filed under: Homo sapiens (human)
Lineage: Eukaryota; Metazoa; Chordata; Mammalia; Primates; Hominidae
Description: non-protein coding lnc-TCF4-8:1
Source: RNAcentral